UCACACAGCAUUUCAGCUAGAGUCUGUUCCCAGACAUUGCACCUGGUGCUGUUAGGCUGGAAUUAAAGUGUCUU
Molecule: non-coding RNA, 74 nt
Organism: Fukomys damarensis (Damara mole-rat)
Lineage: Eukaryota; Metazoa; Chordata; Mammalia; Rodentia; Bathyergidae
Source: Rfam